AUUGAAAUAAACCUGAUGGGUUGCUGCUGGUUCUCUUGGGAGCAUGUGCACACCUUGUCAUCUUUAUAUCUCCACCUGUGCAUUUUUUGUAGACCUUUCAGGUCUAUGUUGCUUCAUUUACCCCAAUGUAUGUUAAUAGAAUGUUGUGCCUAUAAUAAUAUAUACAACUUUCAGCAACGGAUCUCUUGGCUCUCGCAUCGAUGAAGAACGCAGCGAAAUGCGAUAAGUAAUGUGAAUUGCAGAAUUCAGUGAAUCAUCGAAUCUUUGAACGCAUCUUGCGCUCCUUGGUAUUCCGAGGAGCAUGCCUGUUUGAGUGUCAUUAAUAUAUCAACCAUCUCCUAUUUGAGUUGUUUGGAUGUGGGGGUGUGCUGGCCUCUUAAAUGAUUCAGCUCCCCUGAAAUGCAUUAGCAGAACAACCUUGUUCAUUGGCGUGAUAAUUAUCUAUGCUAUUGAAUGUGAGGGCAGUUCAGCUUUCUAAUCGUCCUUGGACAAUUUAUCAUUAAUGUGACCUCAAAUCAGGUAGGACUACCCGCUGAACUUAAGCAUAUCAAUAACG
Molecule: ribosomal RNA, 556 nt
Filed under: uncultured fungus
Lineage: Eukaryota; Fungi
Description: eukaryotic LSU rRNA
Rfam family: 5.8S ribosomal RNA (bases 166-319)
Source: RNAcentral